RNAcentral lists this small nuclear RNA (23 nucleotides) under Arabidopsis thaliana (thale cress). Its description in RNAcentral is "snRNA_16006". The record is from RNAcentral. Lineage: Eukaryota; Viridiplantae; Streptophyta; Magnoliopsida; Brassicales; Brassicaceae.
AUCGUAAAGUUUUGUUUGACUUU